CGAUGUUUGGUUUACUCCCGCAACUGGGGCCUUCCUUGUCCUCAGUUCGUACGCACCGACUGGGGUGAAGUCGUAACAAGUACACCUUGGCUCAGAACGAACGCUGGCGGCAUGCCUUACACAUGCAAGUCGGACGGCAGCGCGGGGGCAACCCUGGCGGCGAGUGGCGAACGGGUGAGUAAUACAUCGGAACGUGUCCUGGAGUGGGGGAUAGCCCGGCGAAAGCCGGAUUAAUACCGCAUACGCUCUGUGGAGGAAAGCGGGGGAUCUUCGGACCUCGCGCUCAAGGGGCGGCCGAUGGCAGAUUAGCUAGUUGGUGGGGUAAAGGCCUACCAAGGCGACGAUCUGUAGCUGGUCUGAGAGGACGACCAGCCACACUGGGACUGAGACACGGCCCAGACUCCUACGGGAGGCAGCAGUGGGGAAUUUUGGACAAUGGGGGCAACCCUGAUCCAGCAAUGCCGCGUGUGUGAAGAAGGCCUUCGGGUUGUAAAGCACUUUUGUCCGGAAAGAAAACCGCUUCUCUAAUACAGGGGCGGGAUGACGGUACCGGAAGAAUAAGCACCGGCUAACUACGUGCCAGCAGCCGCGGUAAUACGUAGGGUGCAAGCGUUAAUCGGAAUUACUGGGCGUAAAGCGUGCGCAGGCGGUUCGCUAAGACCGAUGUGAAAUCCCCGGGCUUAACCUGGGAACUGCAUUGGUGACUGGCGGGCUAGAGUAUGGCAGAGGGGGGUAGAAUUCCACGUGUAGCAGUGAAAUGCGUAGAGAUGUGGAGGAAUACCGAUGGCGAAGGCAGCCCCCUGGGCCAAUACUGACGCUCAUGCACGAAAGCGUGGGGAGCAAACAGGAUUAGAUACCCUGGUAGUCCACGCCCUAAACGAUGUCAACUAGUUGUCGGGUCUUCAUUGACUUGGUAACGAAGCUAACGCGUGAAGUUGACCGCCUGGGGAGUACGGUCGCAAGAUUAAAACUCAAAGGAAUUGACGGGGACCCGCACAAGCGGUGGAUGAUGUGGAUUAAUU
Molecule: ribosomal RNA, 1022 nt
Filed under: uncultured Burkholderia sp.
Lineage: Bacteria; Pseudomonadati; Pseudomonadota; Betaproteobacteria; Burkholderiales; Burkholderiaceae
Description: bacterial SSU rRNA
Rfam family: Bacterial small subunit ribosomal RNA
Source: RNAcentral